UCUCUCUUGUCUGUGGCGGGGGCGGUUAUGCGCUGGUGUCGCGGCCUUACGGGCACUAGUCCGGCCUCCAGCGUCCACGGGCAGGCAUGGCAUAGUGCGGGGCCGCGGCCUGGGCCUCAGCUCUGCGCGGUCGGGCGUACGGCCGUCUGUGGCCCCCCCCGCAAGCUGAUUUGCGUUUCUGCGGCGCCCCGCCCGUGUAACUGCGGCGGCGUCUUUUGAAGCGAGAUGAAUUGAAUAAACAAUCAAAUAUGAGGAUGGAAUUACAUUUGGAAGUGCAAUGAGUUAUCAAGAGCAAUGAAAUGAGCACAAAUAAUGAGGAUUUGAAAUUUGGAAGAAUGUACUUUGAGGUAAAUGGUCAAACCAGGAGCAGGGAGCAGCAUAAAUGCAAGAACAUGUGUAAUCAACACAUUGUGGUGCAUCAAAGCUUUUAAAUUGUAAUUUGGAUUAUUUGCCCUUCACUUGUUUUUGUUAGGAUGUUGAGCAUCCCAGAAUAAUUUAGUGAUUUGUACAAUAAACACUAAUUCUUUAUAUUGCACAAAUGUACUUUCUGAAGAAACUGCAAAGUUGUUUAUAAGGUAUUUAUACAGUUUUUCUUAGCUUCUAGAUUUUUCAAUUAAUAACUGGUUAUUUUUAAUGGAAUCUUACAGUGGAGACCCAUUCAUAUUUCUGUACUGGCUCUUUGAACAAUCUAUUUUCCUGCUUUUUUCAAAUUCUUUUUAAGUUGUCUUUGUAUUUUUUUUUAGAAUAUAUUGAUUUAAAGUUUCCCAUAGCUGGGGUGUUAAAUAUGUACAUUAUAUAGGCAGACAUGGGCCUUUUGCAAGCAAGCAGCAAGACCACUUUUUUGGUUAAAAGCAGCAAAGUGACCAGUUCUCCAAGGGAAUACAGGAUGUGCAGCAGUAGAAGAAAUAGGUAAUACUGCCAUGGAAUCUUGCUAUCUAAGCAAAAGGUGAUCCCUUGAGAUGCAGUGCUCUCUUGGCACUUUUUGUUUAUACUCCAUUCUGAGUAGAAUGCAAGCUCCCAAUCUUCUGACUUGAAGCUAGUGUAUUGUCUACUGUGGACUGAAUUUUGAGUUAUCCCACCUGGUGAAAAUGGCAAGAAACUUAGAAAUAGAAUUGUGCUAUCUCAGACUUCCGAGCAUGAUCAUUUGAACCAGCCACAGAAUUUGUUUUUUAUAUCCUUGGGUAGGCAAACCACACUUAAUUGGGGAGGUUGCAUUCCUAGAAAAUGGUCUGUAUGGCAAUUUUAUGUAAUGCAAAACCAUGUCACCUGUGAGUUGCAAAUAAAAUCCUGCAUUUCAUGAGCAAA
Long non-coding RNA from Pristis pectinata (smalltooth sawfish), 1305 nucleotides. RefSeq lists it as uncharacterized. Lineage: Eukaryota; Metazoa; Chordata; Chondrichthyes; Rhinopristiformes; Pristidae. The record is from RefSeq and is a predicted model, not a curated record. The transcript has 4 exons.